This 459-nucleotide ribosomal RNA is filed under the name uncultured bacterium. RNAcentral describes it as "partial 16S ribosomal RNA". It matches the Rfam family "Bacterial small subunit ribosomal RNA", at positions 338 to 795 of the family's 1533-position model. The record is from RNAcentral.
CCUACGGGAGGCAGCAGUGAGGAAUAUUGGUCAAUGGCCGAGAGGCUGAACCAGCCAAGUCGCGUGAGGGAAGAAUGUCCUAUGGAUUGUAAACCUCUUUUGUCAGGGAGCAAAGUCACCCACGUGUGGGUGUUGGAGAGUACCUGAAGAAAAAGCAUCGGCUAACUCCGUGCCAGCAGCCGCGGUAAUACGGAGGAUGCGAGCGUUAUCCGGAUUUAUUGGGUUUAAAGGGUGCGUAGGCGGGUUAUCAAGUCAGCGGUAAAAUCGUGGAGCUCAACUCCAUCCAGCCGUUGAAACUGAUGAUCUUGAGUGGGCGAGAAGUAUGCGGAAUGCGUGGUGUAGCGGUGAAAUGCAUAGAUAUCAGGAGGAAUACCGUUAGCGAAGGCGGCAAUCUGGCUGGAAACUGACGCUGAGGUGCGAAAGCGUGGGUAGCAAACAGGAUUAGAUACCCCUGUAGUC